AUUGAACGCUGGCGGCAUGCCUUACACAUGCAAGUCGAACGGCAGCACGGGUGCUUGCACCUGGUGGCGAGUGGCGAACGGGUGAGUAAUACAUCGGAACGUACCUUAUCGUGGGGGAUAACGCAGCGAAAGCUGUGCUAAUACCGCAUACGCCCUGAGGGGGAAAGCGGGGGAUCGAAAGACCUCGCGCGAUUAGAGCGGCCGAUGCCUGAUUAGCUUGUUGGUGGGGUAAAAGCCCACCAAGGCGACGAUCAGUAGCUGGUCUGAGAGGACGAUCAGCCACACUGGGACUGAGACACGGCCCAGAAUCCUACGGGAGGCAGGAGUGGGGAAUUUUGGACAAUGGGGGCAACCCUGAUCCAGCAAUGCCGCGUGAGUGAAGAAGGCCUUCGGGUUGUAAAGCUCUUUUGUCAGGGAAGAAACACCGGCUCUAACACAGUCCGGGAAUGACGGUACCUGAAGAAUAAGCACCGGCUAACUAAGUGCCAGCCGCCGCCGUAA
RNAcentral lists this ribosomal RNA (501 nucleotides) under uncultured bacterium. RNAcentral's name for it is "partial 16S ribosomal RNA". It matches the Rfam family "Bacterial small subunit ribosomal RNA", at positions 29 to 523 of the family's 1533-position model. The record is from RNAcentral.